RNAcentral lists this ribosomal RNA (253 nucleotides) under uncultured bacterium. RNAcentral's name for it is "partial 16S ribosomal RNA". It matches the Rfam family "Bacterial small subunit ribosomal RNA", at positions 524 to 776 of the family's 1533-position model. The record is from RNAcentral.
UACGAAGGGGGCUAGCGUUGUUCGGAAUCAUUGGGCGUAAAGGGCGCGUAGGCGGCUUUGCAAGUGACGGGUGAAAUCCCUCGGCUUAACCGAGGAACUGCCUGUCAGACUGUGAGGCUUGAGACCGGGAGAGGUGAGUGGAAUUCCCAGUGUAGCGGUGAAAUGCGUAGAUAUUGGGAGGAACACCAGUGGCGAAGGCGGCUCACUGGACCGGAACUGACGCUGAGGCGCGAAAGCGUGGGGAGCAAACAGG